This is a non-coding RNA of Engraulis encrasicolus (European anchovy), 173 nucleotides long. RefSeq annotates it as small Cajal body-specific RNA 1. The record is from RefSeq and is a predicted model, not a curated record. Lineage: Eukaryota; Metazoa; Chordata; Actinopteri; Clupeiformes; Engraulidae. The transcript has a single exon.
CUGCACCCGAUACUAACCUGACUGUCUGCAGCCCAUGAGUUCGUUGUUGCGCUCUGGGAUGAGUGCUGGUGUGGCUGUCAGGUUCAAGAGAGGUGCCAGAUAAACUAACAUCCGAGAGAUUUAAGCACAAGGUGUGAAGGCCUAUGCCCUGUGUUAUGACUCCCGGAACAGAC